CGUGUAGGCGGCAGGACAAGUCAGAUGUGAAAGCCCCCCGGCUUAACCGGGGAGGUGCAUUUGAAACUGUUUUGCUUGAGUGCGAGAGGGGGUAGUGGAAUUCCCAGUGUAGCGGUGAAAUGCGUAGAUAUUGGGAAGAACACCAGUAGCGAAGGCGGCUACCUGGCUCGCAACUGACGCUAAGGCGCGAAAGCGUGGGGAGCAAACA
This 208-nucleotide ribosomal RNA is filed under the name uncultured bacterium. RNAcentral describes it as "partial 16S ribosomal RNA". It matches the Rfam family "Bacterial small subunit ribosomal RNA", at positions 568 to 774 of the family's 1533-position model. The record is from RNAcentral.